Engraulis encrasicolus (European anchovy) is the source of this 487-nucleotide long non-coding RNA. RefSeq lists it as uncharacterized. The transcript has 4 exons. The record is from RefSeq and is a predicted model, not a curated record. Lineage: Eukaryota; Metazoa; Chordata; Actinopteri; Clupeiformes; Engraulidae.
AUUUUGCUCUUUGGGUCUUUGUGCCAACCAUGCCAGCUAUCGUAGGGUGCUCUGGGAACUUCUUAGAUCUGUUUACUGUAUGUACACUUACUGAAAUAAGCAUUUUGUUUACAUAAAAUCCCUUGUCAUUUCACCACUAGGUUUGAAACCCAGACAGCACGAAGCAUCUUGCCGACGUCAAAAUCAGAUCAACAGACAGGGACAUCAGCCUUCUCUUGGGAAUAGGCCAGAUAUGCCAUAACAAGAAAUGGUGUUUUGCCCCUGCGGUUGUGAAGAGGAUGCUGUGGAGGUGGCAGCAUGAACGUGUCACACAGACAUUGGCUAAACAACUCGGCUUCUACACUUGACAACAAAUGUGCUCUACGAUGACAUUUCCAGCAUGUCCAACUCAUCAGCAUCAGGGGAGAUUCGGUGAAGGUGGUGCACCAUCCAGGACCAGUCAUGGGUCACCAACACCUCUGCAAAAUCUACACUUCUUGUGAACCCU